Molecule: long non-coding RNA, 11534 nt
Filed under: Gossypium barbadense (sea-island cotton)
Lineage: Eukaryota; Viridiplantae; Streptophyta; Magnoliopsida; Malvales; Malvaceae
Description: long non-coding RNA (GBAR_LNC008737)
Source: RNAcentral
UCUCUGUUGCAGGUGUGUCCGGUGUGGGUGGUGCACGUGAUGGCCAAGGGCAGAGGUAGCAUGGGGCGACUGAUCAGAGGCGUGCAUGCGUGAGGGGAGGUGAAGCGGCGGCAGCUACAAAGCAUGAGGCUAGGGUUUUUUUGUUUGGUUGAAAACUAGUAUAGUUUGGGCCAUUCGGGCCUCUAAGGUUUUUAUCAUUAUUAGGCAUUUGGAUUGGGUUUGUUUUUUGGGUUAAUUUUGUUGUAAUGGUCUGUUAAUUUUUAUUAGUCUUGGUCCAUUUGGGUUUUAUGGUCUGGGCCUGGGCAAAAAUGGGCUUUUACAGCUGCCCCUCUUUGCUCAUUUUCGUGUAACGAGAAUAGAGCAAAGACAUCAAAAGGGCCAAUUUUGCCCGGCCUUGCCGAGUCUUGACUUUUUGGUGCUCAUCUUUUUUAAGUAGCCUUAUUCCAGCCUGCUACGUCUUGUUGCUUCGAUCCACUCUACUGCAACUUCAGAUACGCCUUGUAGCUUCAAUCUACUCUGCUACGACUCCAUGGGGAUGAGAUUUGUGUUUUUAGUGUGCUCCACUACUAUUUAGGGAGAUAAGACUGGAUGUGAUCUGCUCCACUACUACUUAGGGAGAUAAGACUGUAAUCUUCAAUCUAUUCCACUGCCAAAUACAGGGAGAUAGAGUUAUCAGCUUCAAUGUACUCCACUGUAGUUACAGGAAGGUAAAAUCUGCCAUCUUCGAUCUACUCCACCACUAGUAUGGGAAGACAAGAUCUGUAUCUUGGAUCCACUUCCUAUCAAUAUAGGAAGAUAGGACCUGCUAUCUUCGAUCUACUUCACGCCAAUACAUGAAGACAAGAUCUGCUUUCUGCGAUCUACUUCGCCACCAAUAUGGGAAGACAAGAUCUGCAUCUUCGACCCACUUCCUAUCAAUAUAGGAAGAUAGGACCUGCUAUCUUCGAUCUACCUCACGCCAAUACAUGAAGACAAGAUCUGCUUUCUGCGAUCUACUUCGCCACCAAUAUGGGAAGACAAGAUCUGCAUCUUGGAUCCACUUCCUAUCAAUAUAAGAAGAUAGGACCUGCUAUCUUCGAUCUACUUCACGCCAAUACAUGAAGACAAGAUCUGCUUUCUGCGAUCUACUUCGCCACCAAUAUGGGAAGACAAGAUCUGCGUCGUCGAUCCACUUCCAAUCAUUAUAGAAAGAUAGGACCUGUUAUCUUUGAUCUACUUCACGCCAAUACAUGAAGACAAGAUCUACUUUCUGCGAUCUACUUCGCCACCAAUAUGGGAAAACAAGAUCUGCAUCUUGGAUCCACUUCCUAUCAAUAUAGAAAGAUAGGACCUGCUACCUUCGAUCUACUUCACGCCAAUACAUGAAGACAAGAUUUGCUUUCUUCGAUCUACUUCGCCACCAAUAUGGGAAGACAAGAUCUGCAUCUUCGAUCCACUUCCUACCAAUAUAGGAAGAUAGGACCUGCUACUUUCGAUCUACUUCACGCCAAUACAUGAAGACAAGAUCUGCUUUCUUCGAUCUACUUCGCCACCAAUAUGGGAAGACAAGAUCUGCAUCUUCGAUCUACUUCGCCACCAAUAUGGGAAGACAAGAUCUGCAUCUUCGAUCCAUUUCCUACCAAUAUAGGAAAACCGGAUCAGCUAUCUUCGACCUACUUCACGCCAAUACAUGAAGACAAGAUCUGCUUUCUUCGAUCUACUUCGCCACCAAUAUGGGAAGACAAGAUCUGCAUCUUCGAUCUACUUCGCCACCAAUAUGGGAAGACAAUAUCUGCAUCUUCGAUCCACUUCCUACCAAUAUAGGAAAACCGGAUCAGCUAUCUUCGACCUACUUCACGUCAAUACAUGAAGACAAGAUCUACUUUCUUCGAUCUACUUCUUGUCCCGGGAGAUAGAACUAUCAGCUUCAAUGUACUCCACUGUGGUCAGGGAGGUAAAAUCUGCCAUCUUUUGAUCUGCUUCGCUGCCAAAUACAGGAAGGCAAGAUCUGCAAUCUUCAAUCUAUUCCACUGCCAAAUACAGGGAGAUAGAGUUAUCGGCUUCAAUGUACUCCACUGUAGUCACAUGGAGGUAAAAUCUGCCAUAUUUGAUCUUCAAUCUAUUCCACUGCCAAAUGCAGGGAGAUAGAGUUAUCGGCUUCAAUAUACUCCACUGUAAUCAGGGAGGUAAAAUCUGCCAUCUUUGAUCUGCUUCGCUGUCAAAUUCAGGAAGGCAAGAUCUGCAAUCUUCAAUCUGCUCUGCUACAAACGAGAGAGGCAAGGUUUGUCUUUGAUUUUUACUGAUCUGUUCUCUAGGGAACAUGACCUGUAUAAUGAACCUAAUUAUGCCUAAUGAUUAGGAUGGCAUGAUCAGAAUGGAUCAAAUGUUCCUAACUAGAUGUGCGUGAAUGACAUUUGAAUGAAUGCAGAAUGUCAUGAAAAUGAUUCCUUAAUGCUUAGGUUGUCAUUCCUCAUUGUUCAUCAAGGUUCUAUCACUGAUGCCUUCUUGUUCAGCCAGUACCUUUGAUAGAAAACCUAAAGAAAUAGACGCUAUUUAGACUAUCAUUUCUCAAAUGUUUCCAACCCUUAGGUUUGGUUAGUUCUAAACAAUAGUCUUGUUUCAGGUCCUCGUAUUAUUUAGAAACUUUCAGAGUAAUAUGCAGAACUCCUUCUGCCUGUGUAUUGUCAGUCCAUUAAUCGUUAUUUCAAUGAAAAAUGCUUGAAAAAGAUUAUCAAAAUGGACAAAAUGAAAUUUUGUUGAGAGCAAAGCUCUUAAACAAACAAAUCAAUCAAGAUAGCAAAUUUUGCUGAGAUACGAGAUGAAUAAGAUGAAAAAGAUUAUCACAAUGGAUAAGACGAAAAUUUGUUGAGAGCAAAGCUCUAAAUGAACAAAUUAAUCAAGAUAGCAAAUUUUGCUAAAGUACAGAACGAGGAUAAAUUAAUCAAGAUGAUGUAUUUUGUCAAAAAUACAAAAAAUGAAUAAAAUGGAAAUAGGUGCCCCAGAUAUCGUAGCAUGAGCUUCUCUGCCCCAAACUUCUUAAGGACCCUUUUGAACUUGAUAUGUGUUUAGAAGUCCUAGAAGGCUUUGUUGAUGCCCCAUCUUUGAUCGAAAACUACUUUAUGCCUCAUCUUUGAUCGAAAAUUUGAAUUGCCCAUUCCUGGGUUUUCAAUUCAAAACCCCUUUGGUCUCAAGGUGCCCUUUGCGGGUUUUCGCCUUGGCCUCUCCUUUUUUUUUUUAGGCAAAGUACCUCUUCACUGAAUCCGAAUUCACAGGAUUGGGCAAGCUUUUGCCAUCCAUCCCAGUUAAAAUUAAUGCCCCUCCUGAAAAGGCCUUUUUUACUACAUAAGGUCCCUCCCAGUUUGGCAUCCACUUUCCUCUGAAGUCUUUUUGUAUGGGAAGGAUCUUCUUCAGUACCAAAUCCCCUUCAUGGAAGUUUCUAGGACGAACUUUCUUAUUGUAAGCUCGCAUCAUUUGUUUCUGGUACAUUUGACCAUGACGGAUAGCUCUUAACCUCCUUUCUUCAAUCAAGUUCAGCUGAUCAUAUCGGGAUUGGACCCAUUCUGCUUCGUCUAACUUUAGUUCUGAAAAAACUCGGAGGGAGGGAAUUUUAACCUCAAUUGGUAGCACUGCCUCCAUUCCAUAAACCAAAGAGAAUGGUGUUGCCCCGGUAGAAGUCCUGACGGACGUUCGAUAAGCAUAGAGGGCGAAUGGCAACUUCUCGUGCCAAUCUCUAUAGGUCUCAGUCAUUUUCUCCACAAUCCUUUUGAUAUUUUUAUUGGCUGCCUCCACCGCACCAUUCAUCUUUGGACGGUAUGGUGAUGAGUUGUGGUGCUUGAUAUUGAAUUGACUACAAACCUCUACUAUCGUGCUAUUAUUCAAAUUUAAUGCGUUGUCAGAUAUAAUCCUUUCGGGCAUUCCAUACCGACAUAUGAUUUCCUUUUUUAAAAACCUGCUGACAGCUGCCUUUGUGACGUUCGCGUAAGAAGUAGCCUCUACCCACUUAGUAAAGUAGUCAAUCACUACAAAAAUGAAACGAUGUCCGUUUGAAGCCUUUGGCGAUAUCAGCCCAAUGACGUCCAUGCCCCACAUGGAGAAAGGCCAUGGGGAAGUCAUGACGUGAAGAGGUGAUGGAGGCACAUGGAUUUUGUCUCCGUAAAUCUGGCAUUUAUGGCACUUCUUAGCAUAUUUGAUGCAGUCUCCUUCCAUGGUAGACCAAUAAUAUCCAAAUCUCAUGAUUUGUCUGGCCAUUGUGAAACCGUUAGCGUGUGUUCCACAAAUACCAUCAUGGACUUCUUCCAAGAUCUGUUUGGCCUCCACAGCGUCCACACAUCUUAACAGCACCUGAUCUUUUCCUCCUUUGUACAGGAUCUCUCCAUCUAAGACGUAAUCACUGGCCAGCCUCCUCAACAUUCUCUUGUCAUUCUCAGUUGCUUGGUUUGGGUAUUCACGAUUUUUCACGUAUCGCAAUAUGUCCUGGUACCAAGGGUUGUCGUCCUUUUCUUCUUCCUUGUCAAUGUUACAACAGUGGGCUGGAGCAUCAUAAAUGCUCAUUUGGAUAGGUUUCACAUCCUCUGGUCUAUUUACUUUGAUCAUGGAAGCUAAUGUAGCUAAAGCGUCAGCCAUCUGAUUCUCGUCUCGUGGGAGGUAACAAAAAGUGAUGUCGUCAAACUCCUCAAUCAAUUCUAGGACUAUCAUUCGGAAACUAAUCAACUUAGGGUCUCUUGUUUCCCAUUCGCCUUUGAGCUGAUAAAUUACCAAUGCCGAAUCCCCACAUACCUCAAGUACCUUGAUUUUGCGUUCCAUAGCCGCACGGAUUCCCAUUAUACAUGCUUCAUAUUUCGCCAUGUUAUUUGCGUAAUCAAAAUCUAGUUUACUGGUGAAAGGAUAAUGAUCACCGUUUGGAGAUACCAAGACUGCCCCAAUCCCGUUGCCCAUGGCAUUUGAGGCUCCGUCAAAAUUUAAUUUCCAAGUAUUGCCUUCUUGUGUGCUUGCUUCAGUAGUUGCCACAUACAUCAGAUCCUCAUUUGGGAAAUCAAAGUUCAAAGGCUCAUAAUCGUCCAGGGUUCUACUUGCUAGAAAAUCUGCUAUCGCGCUCCCUUUUACAGCCUUUUGAUUCACAUAGGUUAUGUCAAAUUCAGAUAGUAGAAUUUGCCAUCGGGCCAUCCUUCCGUUUAGAGCAGUUGACUCCAUCAUGUAUUUCAGAAGGUCUAACUUUGAGAUUAACCAAGUCGUAUGGUACAACAUGUAUUGUUUCAAUCUCCGAGUAGUCCAAACCAAUGCGCAACAUAAUUUUUCAAUUGGCGAAUAUCUCGUUUCGUAUUCAGUGAACUUCUUACUGAGAUAAUAGAUCGCUCUUUCCUUUCGUCCUGACUCAUCAUGUUGGCCGAGCACGCACCCCAUAGAAUUCUCAAAUACUGCCAAGUAUAGUAUCAGUGGCUUGUCAGGGCAAGGUGGCAUCAGUACUGGGGCGUUGGACAAGUAAUGUUUAACUCUUUCGAAAGUUUUCUGGCACUCUUUAUCCCAUACACCUGGAUUGUGUUUCCUACGAAGACGGAAUAUGGGGUCACAUUUCUUAGUUAAUUGUGAAAUGAAUCGAGCGAUGUAAUUUAGUCUUCCUAGGAAACCCCGAACUUCUUUUUGAGUACUUGGCGGAGAUAAUUCUUGUAUGGCCUUAACUUUGUCUGGGUCAAUUUCAAUUCCUUUUUCGCUGACUAAGAAUCCUAGCAAUUUUCCUGAUCUAGCCCCGAAAGUACACUUGGCUGGGUUAAGUUUUAGCUGGAACUUCCUUAACCUUAGAAACAGUUUUCUCAGAACUUGCACGUGUUCCCCUUCUGUUCUGGAUUUUGCGAUCAUAUCAUCAACAUAAACUUCUAUCUCUUUAUGCAUCAUAUCAUGGAAUAAUGCUACCAUGGCUCUCUGAUACGUUGCUCCCGCAUUUUUCAAUCCAAAAGGCAUCACUUUAUAACAAAACGUCCCCCACAUCGUUAUGAAUGUGGUAUUCUCCCUGUCUUCAGAAAGCAUCUUAAUUUGGUUGUACCCGGAGAAACCAUCCAUGAAAGAGAACAGUGAGUAUCCGGCCGUGUUGUCUACCAAGGUAUCGAUAUGAGGCAGUGGGAAAUUAUCUUUUGGGCUGGCUUUGUUCAAGUCUCUGUAGUCCACACACAUUCGCACCUUCCCAUCUUUCUUAGGAACAGAGACUAUAUUGGCUACCCAUUCUGAGUACUUGACCACCUGUAAGAAACCAGCAUCAAAUUGCUUCUUAACUUCUUCCUUUAUUUUUAGCAAGACAUCAGGCCUCAUCCUUCGGAGCUUUUGUUGGACUGGUUUGCAUUCUUCUUUUAUAGGCAAUCGGUGUACCACGAUAUCAGUACUUAACCCUGGCAUAUCUUGGUAGGACCACGCGAAGACAUCUUUAAACUCUUGAAGCAACUCAACAAGGUCUUGCCUUGUUUCCUUGGCAAUGCAAGCGCCAAUUUUUACCUCUCUGCCCUCUUCUAAGAUCACAACUUCUACUGAUUCCUUAUAGGGUAGAAUUUGUUUUUCUUCUUCUUCCAUCAUUCUUAACAAAUCCGGAGAUAAAACGCUGUCUUGGUCACCUUCAAAAUCUUGAGGAUCAUCUAUACUCAUGUCUUGCUCAAAUAGGGACUCUGAAUUAGUAACAGAGUCACUCAUCUCGUUGAUAUCUGAAGACCUGUUAUUGGAACAAAUGGAGGCCCAAAUAAAAGGAUCUAAGAAUACUUGUAUGCAUAUUAUGAUUAUAAAGGGAAUGAAAAGAAUGAAAGAAUAUUUGCUCAAGAUGAAACUGAAUGAUAAGUUUUCACUGAAAUUAGAUUUUGGACAUGUGCCUUUUACAAAAGAUUCUUAUCACCCCCAGGCUUAGGGCAACACGUGUUCUGAAUAUUACUCUAGAUUAGCUCUAAAAAUACAGGGAUCUCUUCCACAGUCCCAUUGUUCAAAACACUCCUAAAUAUGCAAAAGUUUGGAGACUUUUAUUCCUCAGUUCCCUUUUCGGAUAUAUCAUUGAAAUUCCUCGAUAUUCCUUUCAGGCUUUUGACUUGUUCAAGGCAUUACAACUCUUUGCUCAUUAUCGUGUAACGUAAAGAUGCCUAGUCAUUUGACUUUUGUCGGUUUCCAAGUUAACUGGGAUAAUUUUACCUAAUUAGGGUCCUUUUAGGGAAAGUCUAAUGCAAAAUAAAGCAAUGCAAUGCAAAUGCAUGAAAUGAAUGCAAAAGAAAGGAAGGCGUUGAUUCUAAAUUUAAUUCUAUUAGAAUAAUUUUUCUAAAAAAUAGAUUUUUUUACAUGAAAAUAGUUUACAUAUGUGGUAUUGCCCUUCAUAGUCCAAGUAAACGCUGAUAUUUUCUUCAUGGUUAAACCCUGUAAAUUCUCCAAAAGAUGCAUUUGCUAGCUCCUUACUGCUUAAUCUGAGCCUCGAUCUCUUGCUCGCUUAUCUUCAAGAUACUCAUCAAAAAGUGCCAGCUCUUGGAUAAUCUUCGUUGGCAAUUAAAUCAAGUCAUGUAUUCCUUCGUGGACUUCCGGCUUUCUCUCGUCAUGCCUUCGUUGGCUUGAAUCUCUAGAAAUUACAUUAUGUAUUCCUCCGUGAACUACCAGCUUUCUCUCAUCGUGUUUACUCAGACUAUAUUCAGACGACCGCACUAUAAUCCACUUUAUCAAGAAAUUCGCUUCCUUAUGACAAACUAUUCUAUUUAGGAAUCGAAUUUCGAAUCAACACAUUCUUUUCUUUGAUGUAAUGCAAAUACAUGAAUGCAAAAAAAAAGGAAGACAUUGAUUCUGAAUUUAAUUUCAUUGGAACAACUUUUCUAGAAAACAAAUUCCUUUACAUAAAACGGACUACAUACACGGUCUUUCUCUCAUAUUCCAAGUGAAGACACCUUUCUUCCUCUUCAUAUCUGGAUCUUAUGGUCGAGUCUGACGAAUUCUCCAAGAGAUGUCUAUAUUAACUCCUUUUUUGCUUGAUCCAGGCUGCGACUCGUUGCUCACUUAUUUCUAUGAUACUUUUCAGCUCUUUUAAGAAAGUCAAGACAUGACAGCUCUCGAAUAAUCUUUGUUAGUUUCUGUCUUUAGGCAAUGAAGCAAAGUCUUGUAUUUCUUCACGGACUAUCAGCCUUCUUUCAUGUAUUCACUUGGACCAUAUUUAGACAACCGUGUUAUAAUCCACUUUAUCAAAAAAAAUUGUUUUCUUAUGACAAACUGUUCUAUUUAGCAAUCAAAUAUGAAUCAACACCUCCUUCCUAGGAUGAUGUAAUACAAUGCAAUUAUAAACAAAAAAAACAAAACACGUUAGUGCAGAAUAAAUAACAAAUAAAGCAAUUCGGGUGACCACUAGGGGUUUGGAGUGGCUCUACGUAGGGUAGGCUCCUAGGUCUCUCUAUAUGUGGUUUGGUUCUUGAGUAAGGGUACCUGAACCAACAGAUUCCUCGAUCCUCACCCAUUAUAGGCUCAUAUGGACCGAGUUCAGUUCAGGGGAAUACAUUUCCCUAUGGCCAUGCGGAGAUGAAAAUCUCACGAAGACAUAGGUACGGAUGUAUCCCGGAAGCGAUUCACUAUCCCAUGCGGAGGUGAAAACCUCACGAAGGCGUAGUUUCUCACUCCCACUAAAAAGGGUAUGACCAGCGGUCAUGCAAUGUAAUGUGCGAAGGUAUAAAAUAAAAUACAGAACACGAUAAAAAAUAUAACUCAGAACAAAAGAGAUGCAAUGAGAGGAUCGUAAAUUUAAAUCGAAUUUUCAACUUUCGACAAAAGACAAGAAAUAAUCAACACGUGGCUUGACUCUCUUAUUGUCCCCAGUGGAGUCGCCAAGCUGUUGACACCAUUUUUUUGUUAAAAAACGGGGUCGACUUGGAUUUUGAAAAAAAGAAUGAAAACGGGAGUCGCCACCAAUCCUUUUUUGAUGAGGUGUGAUCAGGUCACCUCAAAAAGUGGUUGUUUUUAAUAAAUGAUUUAAUUUUAUUAAAACAACGAUUUUGGUCUACGAAAUUUAGAAAAAUGAGUUCGGGAAUCGGUUACGCACGAGGAAGGAUUAGCACCCUCGACACGCCCAAAAUUGGUACCUUAGUUGAUUACAUAAUGUCUUAAUGUCGAAAAUUGAGAAUUUUGAAAAUUUUUAAAAAUUUUUACGAUCCUUAUAUUAAAACAUAAAAAAAAAUUCAGGAAAAGGGACAUAUUUCACGUUAUCUGAGAAAAAAAGAAUCAUAUCCAGUAAGUUAGGACACAAUGUCUCGAAUUCCCGAUAUCGUUUAAAACUCGAAUUUGAAAAGAUUCAUGUAAUAAAGUUUAAAAGAAUAUUCAAUUGUUUAAAUCAAAUAAAGAAAUCGCAACCCAAUACGUUAGGGCACAAUUUCUCAAAAUAUUAAACAUUGAAUAUUGCAUUUAUUUCGAAAAAUCCUUGUCUCGAGAAAGCAACGUGUCACAUCCAAUGCGUUAGGACACAACAUAUUAAAUUCUUGAUAACGAGCUUUUUAUCAUUUUUUUAAAGAGUAAUCUCGAUUAUUUAAAUUCAACGAAGAAAGUCGGAACCCAAUGCAUUAGGGCUCGAUUCUCUCGAAGAUCUAAAUAUCGAAUAUUACUUUUAUUUUAAAAUUUCAUUUUUGGCCAAUCCGAUUGAAAAGAUACGAUGUGACAACAAUGAUGAUAAUGUAAGUAAAAUAACACGAGCAAAACAUAAGAUAAAUAAAUAAUAAAACGAAGAAAACAAUCAAAAAGGCACAAUAACAAAUAAUAAACAAAUAAAAACUAAAACAUGAAUAACAAGCAUUUAAACAAAUAAAUAAAUGAACAAAAUGAUCCAAAAAAAAAUUAUGAAAAGUUAAAAGACAUAUAUAUAUGUACAAAAUUAUGAAAAUAUAAAAAAAAAACAUAUGUGUGUACACAUGAAUUAUAAACCAUAGAAAUAUCAUAAGAAAAUAUAAAUUUUUAAAAUAUAAGAGUAUGUAUAAAUACAUAUAUGCAUAUUUAUGAAAAAUAAAAGAGAUACAUGUAAGUACGUAUAUACAUAAAAAAUUUAAAAUGCAAAUAUAAAUAUAUUCAUGUAUAUAAGAAUAAUAAUAAAAGGCGUAUAUAUAUGCAUGUGAAUAUUAAGUAUGUACAUAUGAAUGUAUAUAAUAUAUAUAUAAACUAUAUAUAUAAAAAAAAUAUGGUAAUGAAAUAUAUACGCACUAUAUAUAUUUAAAACAUUUAGAAAUAAAAAUAUACACAUACAUUAUAAAGUACACAUGCGUGUAUGUAUGUAAGUAUAAUAAAAAAAUAAUAAUAGUAAUAAUAAUAAUAAUAAUAAUAACUAUAUUAAUAAAAUAAACUAAAAACUUAAAAUGAAAGAUUAUGGAUUAAAUUGAAAAUAAUUGAAGUUUCAGGGGCAAAUCUGAAACAAACAAAACACCAAUGAAUCGAAUGGAACAUGCAGUUAACAGUGGAGGACCGAAAGUCAAAUUAAUCCCUCCGUCCAAAACUCCACGCAGCAAUGGAUUAAAAUAAAACAAAUUCGACAUUUCAUGGCAAAAUUUGAAAACAAACCGCAAUGAUUUUGAACUGAUGGGAUAAAAUGAAGGAUUAAAACGCAAAUAACCCAUCAGUGUUUAAAACCCUUUUCAUCUCCAAUUAAAAGCCUACUCUGCAGCAGCAAUAGACGCAAAGUUGCUUCAUCUUCCUUUUUUCUUUUUUUGUUUUAAAACAACAGAGGGAAGAAAGAGGGAUCUGCUAGGCCUUCUUUAAAGCCCUAACUACCGCCACGCCACCGCCUUUCAAGCUUCGCCGCCGAUUCCGAUUCAGGUAAGUUUCGCCCUUUCCUUUUUUGCCUUUUCUUUUGCACCAAAAACAGAGAAGCAAAGAGAAAAAAAAAUAAAAUAAAUAAAACACAAAGAAAAUUACCUUCAAAAAUUGUUUUUGAUUCUUUGUUUGUAUUUCAGUAUUUUUCCAAUACAAUAUUUUUCUCUUUUUAGUACCCAAUCCCCCUUUUCUUUGUGAUCGAUUUUGGCUUUUUAAAACCGAUCUAUAAAACAUUCAUUUCCUAUUUUUUGUUUUCGUUCUUUUGUUUAUUCUUUUCCCCAUUCCUCGCAUGCUUCCUUUUGCUGUUGUUUUUGUCUCUGUUGCAGGUGUGUCCGGUGGGGGUGGUGCACGUGAUGGCCAAGGGCAGAGGUAGCAUGGGGCGACUGAUCAGAGGCGUGCAUGCGUGAGGGGAGGUGAAGCGGCGGCAGCUACAAAGCAUGAGGCUAGGGUUUUUUUGUUUGGUUGAAAACUAGUAUAGUUUGGGCCAUUCGGGCCUCUAAGGUUUUUAUCAUUAUUGGGCAUUUGGAUUGGGUCUGUUUUUUGGGUUAAUUUUGUUGUAAUGGUCUGUUAAUUUUUAUUAGUCUUGGUCCAUUUGGGUUUUAUGGUCUGGGCCCGGGCAAAAAUGGGCUUUUACACUAAAUAAUAAAAAAUGUUAUUUUGAAAACUUACAUUAAUCCUGAAAAUGUAAGAUUACUUAAACCCAACAGUAGCAUAAACUAAUACUGAUUGCAAUUCCGUUUACUCUUUGUUUGAUGGUUCUCCUAAGGCCUGUAGAA